This 255-nucleotide ribosomal RNA is filed under the name uncultured bacterium. RNAcentral's name for it is "partial 16S ribosomal RNA". It matches the Rfam family "Bacterial small subunit ribosomal RNA", at positions 333 to 580 of the family's 1533-position model. The record is from RNAcentral.
GUUCUCCUACGGGGGGCAGCAGUAGGGAAUCUUCCACAAUGGACGAAAGUCUGAUGGAGCAACGCCGCGUGAGUGAAGAAGGUUUUCGGCUCGAAAAGCUCUGUUGGUAGUGAAGAAAGAUAGAGGUAGUAACUGGCCUUUAUUUGACGGUAAUUACUUAGAAAGUCACGGCUAACUACGUGCCAGCAGCCGCGGUAAUACGUAGGUGGCAAGCGUUAUCCGGAUUUAUUGGGCGUAAAGCGAGCGCAGGCGGUU